UUGAAAAAUUUUUAUUUAAAAAGAAAAAUUUUUUUUUUGUACCUUGUGUAUCAGGGUUUAUUAAAUAAUUAAUAAUUAUUUUUAUUAUUCUCGAUUUUAUAAGAGUUAAUAAUUUACUAAAUUUAAUGUAUUAAAAUUAUUUUUAAUAAAUUAUUAGAAAUGAAAUGUUAUUCGUUUAUAAAGGUAUCUAGUUUUUUUAGAAAUAAAUUUAAUUUAUAAAUUUUUAAUUUUUUUAUUUUUUAUUAAAUAAAAAAAAUUAUUAAUUUUAAUAUUUUGAGGGAUAAGCUUUAAAAUAAAUUAUUAAAAAUUAAUUAAUUGUAAUUUAAAAUAUAUGCUUAGAAUUAGCAAUUAUUAAUAAUAUUGUUUUAAAUUAUUUUAUAGAUAUAUUAUUUAAUUAAUUUUAAUAUUUUUAUAAAAAUAUUUUUUUUAUUUAAUUAUGGAAAAUAUUAAUGAUAAAAUUAGUAUAUAAUAAUAUGUAAUAAUAAAUUUAUUUGAUAAGUUUAUAUAAAGAACUCGGCAAAUAUUAUACUCGCCUGUUUAACAAAAACAUGUCUUUUUGAGUUAUUUUUAAAGUCUGACCUGCCCAAUGAAUAAUUUUUAAUGGCCGCAGUAUUCUAACUGUGCAAAGGUAGCAUAAUCAUUAGUCUUUUAAUUGAAGGCUUGUAUGAAUGGUUGGACGAAGUAUAAACUGUUUCAUAUAAAUUUAUAAUAGAAUUUUAUUUUUUAGUAAAAAAGCUAAAAUAUUAUUAAAAGACGAGAAGACCCUAUAAAUCUUUAUAUUAUUAAGUUUUAUUUUUUUUUUGAUUUUUUAAAAUUUAAUAUUUGAUAAUAUUUUGUUGGGGUGAUAUUAAAAUUUAUUAAACUUUUAAUUUAAUUUUACAUUGAUUUAUGAUUUAUUGAUCCAUUAAUAAUGAUUAUAAGAAUAAGUUACUUUAGGGAUAACAGCGUAAUUUUUUUGGAGAGUUCUUAUCGAUAAAAAAGUUUGCGACCUCGAUGUUGGAUUAAGAGAUAUAUUUAGGUGUA
Molecule: ribosomal RNA, 1023 nt
Filed under: Orellia falcata
Lineage: Eukaryota; Metazoa; Arthropoda; Insecta; Diptera; Tephritidae
Description: partial 16S ribosomal RNA
Source: RNAcentral